Molecule: ribosomal RNA, 431 nt
Filed under: uncultured bacterium
Lineage: Bacteria
Description: bacterial SSU rRNA
Rfam family: Bacterial small subunit ribosomal RNA
Source: RNAcentral
GAUGAACGCUAGCGGCAGGCCUAACACAUGCAAGUCGAGCGCCCCGCAAGGGGAGCGGCGGACGGGUGAGUAACGCGUGGGAACGUACCCUUUGCUACGGAAUAGCCUCGGGAAACUGGGAGUAAUACCGUAUGUGCCCUUCGGGGGAAAGAUUUAUCGGCAAAGGAUCGGCCCGCGUUGGAUUAGGUAGUUGGUGGGGUAAUGGCCUACCAAGCCGACGAUCCAUAGCUGGUUUGAGAGGAUGAUCAGCCACACUGGGACUGAGACACGGCCCAGACUCCUACGGGAGGCAGCAGUGGGGAAUCUUAGACAAUGGGCGCAAGCCUGAUCUAGCCAUGCCGCGUGAGCGAUGAAGGCCUUAGGGUUGUAAAGCUCUUUCAGUGGGGAAGAUAAUGACUGUACCCACAGAAGAAGCCCCGGCUAACUCCGUG